Syngnathus acus (greater pipefish) is the source of this 130-nucleotide small nuclear RNA. RefSeq annotates it as U4atac minor spliceosomal RNA. Lineage: Eukaryota; Metazoa; Chordata; Actinopteri; Syngnathiformes; Syngnathidae. The record is from RefSeq and is a predicted model, not a curated record. The transcript has a single exon.
UCCAUCCUCGUCAUGGGGUGACUGGGAAACUCAAUGAACGUCUAGUGAGAGUUUCCCUGCUGACACCAUAACACAACACUUACGCACCUCCCGAAUCUCAGAUUUGGGUUCUGGUGCAAUUUUUGGAAAC